This 335-nucleotide RNase P RNA is filed under the name human gut metagenome. RNAcentral describes it as "Bacterial RNase P class B". It matches the Rfam family "Bacterial RNase P class B". From Rfam's summary of the family: Ribonuclease P (RNase P) is a ubiquitous endoribonuclease, found in archaea, bacteria and eukarya as well as chloroplasts and mitochondria. Its best characterised activity is the generation of mature 5'-ends of tRNAs by cleaving the 5'-leader elements of precursor-tRNAs. The record is from RNAcentral.
UUUGGCAAACGCUGUAUUCUAGUAAUAUAGAGGAAAGUCCAUGCUCGCACUAUCCUGAAAUGGUAGUAGUGUUCAUGCAUAGGGAAAAAAUAACCUAUGGUAGUUUAUACUAACGGCGCUGAUUAAUCUAAACUUUAAAGCAUGAUUAUAAGCAUAAAGUGUCAAAGAGACGAGUUCUUGGGAAACUAAGAAAGUGGAACGUGAUAAACCCCAUGAGCGAGAAACCCAAAUUUGGUAGGGGAACCUAAUAGAUGGGAAAUGAACCGUCUAUGGGAUUACUUCGGUAAUAGAUAAAUGUUUGCCACCUAGAAAUAGGGACAGAACAUGGCUUAUAA